This 732-nucleotide ribosomal RNA is filed under the name uncultured Nitrososphaerota archaeon. RNAcentral describes it as "bacterial SSU rRNA". It matches the Rfam family "Archaeal small subunit ribosomal RNA", at positions 1 to 738 of the family's 1478-position model. Lineage: Archaea; Thermoproteati; Nitrososphaerota. The record is from RNAcentral.
UUCCGGUUGAUCCUGCCGGACCUGACUGCUAUCGGAUUGAUACUAAGCCAUGCGAGUCAUUGUAGCAAUACAAGGCAUACGGCUCAGUAACGCGUAGUCAACCUAACCUAUGGACGGGAAUAACCUCGGGAAACUGAGAAUAAUGCCCGAUAGAACAUUAUGCCUGGAAUGGUUUAUGUUCCAAAUGAUUUAUCGCCGUAGGAUGGGACUGCGGCCUAUCAGUUUGUUGGUGAGGUAAUGGCCCACCAAGACUAUUACAGGUACGGGCUCUGAGAGGAGUAGCCCGGAGAUGGGUACUGAGACACGGACCCAGGCCCUAUGGGGCGCAGCAGGCGAGAAAACUUUGCAAUGUGCGAAAGCACGACAAGGUUAAUCCGAGUGGUUUCUGCUAAAGAAACCUUUUGUCAGUCCUAGAAACACUGAUGAAUAAGGGGUGGGCAAGUUCUGGUGUCAGCCGCCGCGGUAAAACCAGCACCUCAAGUGGUCAGGAUGAUUAUUGGGCCUAAAGCAUCCGUAGCCGGCUCUGUAAGUUUUCGGUUAAAUCUGUACGCUCAACGUACAGGCUGCCGGGAAUACUGCAAAGCUAGGGAGUGGGAGAGGUAGACGGUACUCGGUAGGAAGGGGUAAAAUCCUUUGAUCUAUUGAUGACCACCUGUGGCGAAGGCGGUCUACCAGAACACGUCCGACGGUGAGCGGAUGAAAGCUGGGGGGAGCAAACCGGAUUAGAUACCC